RNAcentral lists this ribosomal RNA (500 nucleotides) under uncultured bacterium. RNAcentral describes it as "bacterial SSU rRNA". It matches the Rfam family "Bacterial small subunit ribosomal RNA", at positions 38 to 507 of the family's 1533-position model. The record is from RNAcentral.
AGGCGGCGUGCCUAACACAUGCAAGUCGAAACGAGAAAGUUGGGCUUCGGCCGGAUGAGUAAAGUGGCGCACGGGUGAGUAACGCGUGGAUAAUCUGCCCUUUAGUUUGGUAAUAACGUACCGAAAAGGUUGCGCUAAUACCGGAUAAUACUGAAUGACUACUGUCGUUUAGUCAAAGAAGGCUUCUGUUUACAUGCUUUUGCUGAAGGAUGAGUCCGCGUACCAUUAGCUAGUUGGUAGGGUAAUGGCCUACCAAGGCGACGAUGGUUAGCUGGUCUGAGAGGAUGAUCAGCCACACUGGAACUGAGACACGGUCCAGACUCCUACGGGAGGCAGCAGUGAGGAAUAUUGCGCAAUGGGGGCAACCCUGACGCAGCAACGCCGCGUGAGUGAGGAAGGUUUUCGGACCGUAAAGCUCUGUCGAGCGGGAAGAAAUGCAUGGUGGCUAAUAUCCAUCAUGCUUGACGGUACCGCUAAAGGAAGCACCGGCUAACUCCGUG